Molecule: long non-coding RNA, 2907 nt
Organism: Astatotilapia calliptera (eastern happy)
Lineage: Eukaryota; Metazoa; Chordata; Actinopteri; Cichliformes; Cichlidae
Source: Ensembl
ACUGGAGGGCAGCUGAGAAUUUGCCACCCGAGGAAGGGGGAGCAUGUUAUUUAAAAUUAAUUACAGGCAGUCUUUCUCAUAUGUUUGUUAAAUUAAAUAUUUAAUUACUGACAUAAUCAGUAUUGUCUUGUAUAUGUAUUUGAAAAUGCUGUGUGCAUGGCAACACUUUUUACUGUGAAAUCAGUAUGGAUAAUCCUCUGAAUCCCAUUCUAGGACUUUAUUUCAUUUAUGAGAUCUGCUGAUACAUUUUCAGGCUUGGAUGGAAACAUGAGAAUCUAAUUGGUGUCUUUUCUCUUGCUGAAAAUUGAUCAGUGCCACUGCACAUAUGGGCCAUAGUCAUGUUUCAAACUGCCUGUUUUGGCUUUGCUUGAGCAGAGAUCUUCAUUUCCUUUUUCCACUUCUUUUUCUUGCUUCUAAUGCAUGUCUCUUGUUUGAUGCAUUUUUGCUUCCUGCCUCUGGAAUAUUCAUCACUUUUUAUUUUUGUUUCCUUCCUUUUCUUUUCUUUUUUGCCUGACCUGACUGAAAAGCUUCGACAUUUAGAUCCAAGGCGUUAAAAGUCUAGUGUGACGUUUCCACAGUCUAUAGUGAUUUGAGGUGCUAUGUCUGGUGUUAAUAGCAUUUGGUUGUCUGUGGUUGUCAACUGUGUUCAAAGUCAAUUCUGCUGUCUUCCCUGAGAUUUUAGAGCAAUUAUGCAUGUGUCAGGCUGAUAAGCUUUGCAAAGAUGCAAUUUCCUUUUCUACAGCGCCCUUACUAGUAACAAAUAGUUUGCUGACGAUGAUGCUACUCGGUGAUUUUAAUAUACAUGUCUGUUGCCCAGGGAAGCCCCUGGCUAAAGAAUUCAUGGACCUGGUGAACUCUUUUAUUCUUGUUCAAUCUGUUAAAUGUGCCACUCAAGAACGUGGUCACACAUUGGAUUUGGUGUUAUCAUAUGGGUUAUCUGUCUGUAACUUACAUGUGGAGGAUGCUGUAUUCUCUGACCAUAUGCCCAUUUUAUUUGACGUUGUUCCUCUUAGUCCUGUUGUUAAACGGGCUGCACCUACGCGAUGCUAUCGUGCCUUCGGCUCAGAUACUGCUGAGCAUUUUUCAACACUAUUUGAACAACUUGUGUCCAGUCCCUCUGAGUUGUCCUCCGUAGAUGGAUUACUAUCUCAUCUGGACUCUGUUUGUAAAUCUGCCCUUGAUGUUGUUGCACCUCUAAGGCAGUGUAAACCCAAGGCCAGUCCUUGGCUAGCCGAUUUUACUUGAGCCAUUAAAAGAGAAUGUAGGUAUGGAAGCCCGUUUCCGCCACUAAAAAAAAAAAAAAAAAGAUCCAUAACUCGAAAUUUCGAGUUAUCUUUCUCGAAAUUUCGAGUUAUUUUCUCAAAAUUCGGACUUAUUAACUCGAAAUUUCGAGUUAUUAACUCGAAAUUUUGAGAAAAUAACUCGAAAUUUCGAGUUAGCGCUGCCAAUAAGAAAUCUACGUGGCUGAUGUCAUUUCCUUGUUACCCGGAAGGAUAUGGCGCAAAGGGGUGCGCACUCAAAACUGGAUCGUGUCGUGAACUACUGUAUUAACAACAAAUGGCGCCAGGUUCUUCAGUUUUGAAUGCCUUCCUACAAAUGAUAACUGGAUAAAAGCAUGGGAGACUUGACUGAAUUCUUGAAACAAAGAGAAGUCUCUGAGGAAAUUAUACAGACCUUGGAGAAUGAGAAGAUUGAUGCCAGUGUCAUAAGUCUAAUGACAGAUGAGGAGCUGAAGACUUAUUUGCCAUCAUACGGUGAUCGUCUAGCAGUAUUUGGAUUUUGCAGACGGAGGGGCAGCAGCCGCAAGUCAGCGCUUUUUGAACGGCUGAAAUCCAAACUGUCCAAAAGAAAAUUAUCUGAAGAGGAUGGCAGUAGCACACGGCAAGAAGAACAUUCCCAAACAACCCAUAAAAGAAAUGCUCUGAAGAGAAAUAGAAAAAUAGAAAUAGGAUGGAUGCAUUAUGAUGAAGACACUGACGUUUUCAAGCAGGUUAGAGCUAGACGAGGAGGAGGAACAAGAAAAAUAGACAUCUGCAAGGAUGCCAAGAAAAGGGACAUAUUACAGGUUGCAACAGGCCUGUUCUUUCCAGAUGGAGGAAACAUUCAGGGGCCCUUAACAGAUUUUGACUGUGAUCUGAAGGAUUAUCAAGAGAUGAUAGUCGAUGAUGCAUUGACAGUAGGAGAACUUUAUCAUGUCACAAGACUUAAUAUCCUCAGGUUCUACCUCACCACAAAGAAAAAACAAAAUGACAGCCUUCAGAGCUCCAACCCAGGUUUGCAUCCAUCUUCAGAAAUUGAAGCGAGUCCUCAAAACCAAACCUCUUCUUUUACUGUCACUACAGUCCAAACAUCUGCUCCAUUUGAAACAAUCAGCCAUGAUGUGACAUACAUUGAAGACACUCCAAAUGAUAACCUUCCACAAUCUUCCACGCAGUCUCUAAGCGCUAACACUUCUCACAGCAGUGACAUUAUUUUUGUUGGCCCCUUUUCUGACAGUGAGCGAAUAAAUUUGGAUGACACCCUGAUUUUUUCUCCACAACCUGGUCCAUCCAGUGAGAGAGUGAGGAGAGUAGUGGUGGUCCACAGAGGGCAGGUAAUGUCAGAGCUCAUUUCACAUUUUAGUGAUAAGGACCUUGAAGAUGUCGACAUCAAAAUCCAGGUCUUACUGCCUGAUGGAACACCUGAAAUGGCCCAUGACGAUGGGGGAGUUGUGAGAGACUGUCUUUCAGAAUUCUGGAAAGAAUUCUAUGACCAGUGCACCACUGGAAACGUUUACAAAGUGCCCUUCUUAAGGCAUGAUCUUGGGCAACCGGAGUGGGAGAGUGUGGGCAGAAUCAUUGCAUUUGGAUGGGUUAGAGAGAAAUAUCUGCCUGUGAAAAUUGCACCUGCCAUUCUGGAACAAGCUGC